Unclassified non-coding RNA from Gorilla gorilla gorilla (western lowland gorilla), 112 nucleotides. It matches the Rfam family "Y RNA". Rfam says of the family: Y RNAs are components of the Ro ribonucleoprotein particle (Ro RNP), in association with Ro60 and La proteins. The Y RNAs and Ro60 and La proteins are well conserved, but the function of the Ro RNP is not known. In humans the RNA component can be one of four small RNAs -- hY1, hY3, hY4 and hY5. Lineage: Eukaryota; Metazoa; Chordata; Mammalia; Primates; Hominidae. The record is from Ensembl.
GGCUGGUCUGAAGGUAGUGAGCUAUCUCAAUCGGAUUGUUCACACUCAGUUACAGAUUGAACUCCUUGUUCUACUUUCCCUGCUUCUCUCUACUGCAAUUGACUAGUCUUUA